RNAcentral lists this ribosomal RNA (427 nucleotides) under uncultured bacterium. Its description in RNAcentral is "bacterial SSU rRNA". It matches the Rfam family "Bacterial small subunit ribosomal RNA", at positions 30 to 457 of the family's 1533-position model. The record is from RNAcentral.
AUUGAACGCUGGCGGCAUGCCUUACACAUGCAAGUCGAACGGCAGCGCGGGGCAACCUGGCGGCGAGUGGCGAACGGGUGAGUAAUAUAUCGGAACAUACCCUAGAGUGGGGGAUAACGUAGCGAAAGUUACGCUAAUACCGCAUACGCACUAAGGUGGAAAGUGGGGGAUCUUCGGACCUCAUGCUCAUGGAGUGGCCGAUAUCUGAUUAGCUAGUUGGUGAGGUAAAGGCUCACCAAGGCGACGAUCAGUAGCUGGUUUGAGAGAACGACCAGCCACACUGGAACUGAGACACGGUCCAGACUCCUACGGGAGGCAGCAGUGGGGAAUUUUGGACAAUGGGGGCAACCCUGAUCCAGCAAUGCCGCGUGAGUGAAGAAGGCCUCGGUUGGUAAAGACGUCUUUUGUCUAGGGAAGAAACGGUAGA